Molecule: small nucleolar RNA, 107 nt
Organism: Arabis alpina (gray rockcress)
Lineage: Eukaryota; Viridiplantae; Streptophyta; Magnoliopsida; Brassicales; Brassicaceae
Rfam family: Plant small nucleolar RNA R71
About the family: R71 is a member of the C/D box family of snoRNAs containing the C (UGAUGA) and D (CUGA) box motifs. Multiple nearly identical copies of this snoRNA have been identified in Arabidopsis, and it is thought to function as a 2'-O-ribose methylation guide for 18S ribosomal RNA.
Source: Rfam
AUCCCAUGGUGAGGACAAGCUCUUGUAUACCCUUUCAUAUGCUCCCACGCGUUAUAUAAACUUUCUUCUUCGCCUUGCUCAAAUCUAGCUAUAUCAUUCCGUAUCUU